CAGCAAUCAGCAGUGCACCGCCGCACUUCCCUUCCCACUUCCGGCCGACCGCCACGACCUGCAGCAGCGAACCAGCAGCAGCCAAUCAGCGGCAGCGACCAGUUCAGUCCAGAGAUCAAAUGGACGACUCGAUGAAGCAAUUACAAGAAAAGCUUAUUGAGGUUGAAAUUGAAGGUGAAAGUCUUUUAUUAGCUCGGCAACAGUUAGUUGAAAAUGAUAGAUUAAGGAAUGGGAACAGGGAAGCAUUAACUGCACUAAGGAGGAGGGCUAAGACGACAAAAACAAGUGUUCCUACACCUUUUGAGUCAAUAAUGAGGGAUGUUGAAUCAAGACCAUUGGUGAAAGAGGUUUGUUCAACCUGCGGUAAUCAUGAUUCAAAGGAGAAGACUUGGGUCAUGUUCCCAGGAACUGAUGUAUUUGCCAAUAUUCCUUUUCAUGCUGCUCAUACCAUUCUGGAGAAAGAUCAAACUCUACUCAAUUAUGAAGCUAAUAAACUUCAGAGUGUUGUAAAGGAGAAGUCUUUAUGGAUAUCAGAUCAAGGAGUUCUUGCUGAUACGAUUAGUCCAGGUGUCCUCAGAUCAAUGGUGACCUUAAGUGACAAACCAAAGAUUGCGCAGAAUGAGUGAUCAACUUCACUAAUAAUUGCAUAUGGUGGGUAAAUCCUUGUACUUCCUACCUCUUACACAUGUGCGCAUUCAUAGCUUAAACACCAGCAUCUCUGUAUUAAGGGAGUAUCCAUCCACUUGUAGCAUUUGCAUCCGUCAAGAAACAAGUUGUAGUGUGAAGCCUGUGCUAACAGGAACGGAACUGCUGGAUUGUUUCUUCACUUCGCCAGAUUCCUUUUCGAAAAAGCUGAAGUUAUUGCAGAUUUGGGUGAUUCAUGAUCAAAUUACCAGAGAGGAUACAAAUUACGUUCUCUUAGUUCUGUUAAUAACAUUAGAAUCAAUCUUCAUGGUAACUUAAAUGUGUGUGCCACAGUUGAGAGUAAAAUGGACAAGUGUGUACUGACUGUUAUUCGAAGGGACCUCCUAUAUUACAUACGUGGGGAAAAAAAAAUACGAAUUUCUGAACUGCUUCAGAAAGGGGAGAAUUAUAUUUCUUUUUUAAACAGCAUUGGUAUGACUUGGUCUCAGAGAAAAUGGUCAACUGUGUCAUAAUGUUGGAGGGGACCUCCAUUGGAGAUAAGUUCAUCUAUAAAUGCACCCAAGGAAGUAGUUUUAGAACAAAUUCUUAAAAGGUAAGUUUAUAAGUUGGUUAAACUUAUUCAUUACUAGCAUUCAGGGUGUCAAAAUGAGCUCAAAUAUAAGUAAUAUAUUCAGAAUUUUAUGGGUUGGGUUCAAGAUAAUUUGAAUGAGUUCAAUAUCAACUCAUUCAAGCCUUAAUUCAUUUUUAAAGAAUCUUGAAUUGAGCUUGAUUUAAUCCCUUAUUUCAACUUGAUAGACUCUUUAUUUGUGUUAGUGUAAUGUAUG
Solanum stenotomum is the source of this 1469-nucleotide RNA transcript. RefSeq lists it as uncharacterized. The record is from RefSeq and is a predicted model, not a curated record. The transcript is spliced from 6 exons. NCBI's taxonomy places the organism in Eukaryota, Viridiplantae, Streptophyta, Magnoliopsida, Solanales, Solanaceae.